Long non-coding RNA from Cololabis saira (Pacific saury), 377 nucleotides. RefSeq lists it as uncharacterized. The record is from RefSeq and is a predicted model, not a curated record. The transcript has 3 exons. NCBI's taxonomy places the organism in Eukaryota, Metazoa, Chordata, Actinopteri, Beloniformes, Belonidae.
UGGAGGAUCCCCGCUGGAGCCUGGACACUCUCAGGGUGGAGCCUGCUGGACAACGAUGGCUGACACCAGGUCUGAGGAAGUAUUCCUGUCAACUCACCGUCGACACAAACACAGUCCACAAACGCAUCAAACUGUCUGACAACAACAGGAAGAUGACACGUGUGAAGGAGGAUCAGUCAUAUCCUGAUCAUCCAGACAGGUUUGGUGAUGAUCUUCCUCAGCUGCUGUGUAGAGAAGUUCUGACGGGUCGCUGUUACUGGGAGGUCCAGUGGAGCGUACAUGUUAAUGUAUCAGUGAGUUACAGAAGAAUCAGCAGGAAAGGAGACUCUGACUGUAGGUUUGGAGGAAACGAUCAUUCCUGGAGUCUGAACUGUUAU